AGAGUUUGAUCCUGGCUCAGGAUGAACGCUAGCGGUAGGCUUAACACAUGCAAGUCGAGGGGCAGCACAGGUAGCAAUACUAGGUGGCGACCGGCGCACGGGUGAGUAACGCGUAUGCAACCUACCUAUAACUGGAGAAUAGCCCCCGGAAACGGGGAUUAAUGUUCCAUAAUGUUCAGAGACUGCAUAGUUUUUGGACUAAAGCUCAGGCGGUUAUAGAUGGGCAUGCGUGCCAUUAGCUAGUUGGUGAGGUAACGGCUCACCAAGGCUACGAUGGUUAGGGGGUCUUAAAGGAUGAUCCCCCACACUGGUACUGAGACACGGACCAGACUCCUACGGGAGGCAGCAGUGAGGAAUAUUGGUCAAUGGGCGCAAGCCUGAACCAGCCAAGCCGCGUGAAGGAUGACGGCCCUAUGGGUUGUAAACUUCUUUUUUACGGGAAGAACCCUCCGACGUGUCGGAGACUGACAGUACCGUACGAAUAAGCAUCGGCUAACUCCGUGCCAGCAGCCGCGGUAAUACGGAGGAUGCAAGCGUUAUCCGGAUUCAUUAGGUAUAAAGGGUGCGUAGGCGGAUUUGUAAGUCAGUGGUGAAAUACUAUAGCUUAACUAUAGAACUGCCAUUGAUACUGCAAGUCUUGAGUACAAUUGAGGUAGGCGGAAUGUGUGGUGUAGCGGUGAAAUGCUUAGAUAUCACACAGAACACCGACGAAGGCAGCUUACUAAACUGUAACUGACGCUGAUGCACGAAAGCAUGGGGAGCAAACAGGAUAGAUACCCUGGUAGUC
This 787-nucleotide ribosomal RNA is filed under the name uncultured bacterium. RNAcentral's name for it is "bacterial SSU rRNA". It matches the Rfam family "Bacterial small subunit ribosomal RNA", at positions 8 to 795 of the family's 1533-position model. The record is from RNAcentral.